This 248-nucleotide ribosomal RNA is filed under the name uncultured Staphylococcus sp. Its description in RNAcentral is "partial 16S ribosomal RNA". It matches the Rfam family "Bacterial small subunit ribosomal RNA", at positions 524 to 771 of the family's 1533-position model. The record is from RNAcentral. Lineage: Bacteria; Bacillati; Bacillota; Bacilli; Caryophanales; Staphylococcaceae.
UACGUAGGUGGCAAGCGUUAUCCGGAAUUAUUGGGCGUAAAGCGCGCGUAGGCGGUUUUUUAAGUCUGAUGUGAAAGCCCACGGCUCAACCGUGGAGGGUCAUUGGAAACUGGAAAACUUGAGUGCAGAAGAGGAAAGUGGAAUUCCAUGUGUAGCGGUGAAAUGCGCAGAGAUAUGGAGGAACACCAGUGGCGAAGGCGACUUUCUGGUCUGUAACUGACGCUGAUGUGCGAAAGCGUGGGGAUCAA